AUAUCUAUGAAGCAGGGGAGAUACCAUGAUUAUGAAGGUGAUUUUCCCAGGUUGAGGCUUAUCCAUUGCACUCCAGAUGUGCUGACCCCUGAGAUUUCUGCAAAUGUAGAAAACUCAACUGCAUAAUUUGUGGUAACAGGGGACUGCAUUCAUGUUUUCUCCUG
Small nuclear RNA from Hippopotamus amphibius kiboko, 164 nucleotides. RefSeq annotates it as U1 spliceosomal RNA. Lineage: Eukaryota; Metazoa; Chordata; Mammalia; Artiodactyla; Hippopotamidae. The transcript has a single exon. The record is from RefSeq and is a predicted model, not a curated record.